GACGAACGCUGGCGGCGUGCUUAACACAUGCAAGUCGAACGGAAAGGCCCUGCUUUUGUGGGGUGCUUGAGUGGCGAACGGGUGAGUAACACGUGAGUAACCUGCCCUUGACUUUGGGAUAACUUCAGGAAACUGGGGCUAAUACCGGAUAGGAGCUCCUGCUGCAUGGUGGGGGUUGGAAAGUUUCGGCGGUUGGGGAUGGACUCGCGGCUUAUCAGCUUGUUGGUGGGGUAGUGGCUUACCAAGGCUUUGACGGGUAGCCGGCCUGAGAGGGUGACCGGCCACAUUGGGACUGAGAUACGGCCCAGACUCCUACGGGAGGCAGCAGUGGGGAAUAUUGCACAAUGGGCGGAAGCCUGAUGCAGCAACGCCGCGUGCGGGAUGACGGCCUUCGGGUUGUAAACCGCUUUCGCCUGUGACGAAGCGUGAGUGACGGUAAUGGGUAAAGAAGCACCAGCUAACUACGU
RNAcentral lists this ribosomal RNA (467 nucleotides) under uncultured bacterium. RNAcentral's name for it is "partial 16S ribosomal RNA". It matches the Rfam family "Bacterial small subunit ribosomal RNA", at positions 28 to 506 of the family's 1533-position model. The record is from RNAcentral.